UACGUAGGGUGCAAGCGUUAAUCGGAAUUACUGGGCGUAAAGCGUGCGCAGGCGGUUUUGUAAGUCAGAUGUGAAAUCCCCGGGCUUAACCUGGGAACUGCGUUUGAAACUACAAGGCUAGAGUGUGGCAGAGGGGGGUGGAAUUCCACGUGUAGCAGUGAAAUGCGUAGAGAUGUGGAGGAACACCGAUGGCGAAGGCAGCCCCCUGGGUUAACACUGACGCUCAGGCACGAAAGCGUGGGGAGCAAACAGGA
RNAcentral lists this ribosomal RNA (254 nucleotides) under uncultured prokaryote. Its description in RNAcentral is "partial 16S ribosomal RNA". It matches the Rfam family "Bacterial small subunit ribosomal RNA", at positions 524 to 777 of the family's 1533-position model. The record is from RNAcentral.